AGGUCGUGACAAGCGGCAAUCC
This 22-nucleotide microRNA is filed under the name Capitella teleta. RNAcentral's name for it is "Cte-Mir-92-o38_5p* (star (passenger))". Lineage: Eukaryota; Metazoa; Annelida; Polychaeta; Capitellidae. The record is from RNAcentral.